GUCCGUGCAAGGAUGAUCCUUUUGUGGACUAGAGUUUCUGAUCGGGACCUAUAUCCCUGAAUCUGAAGACUAACCCUUGGCUGUCUGAGCACGCAU
This is a small nucleolar RNA of Diospyros lotus (date-plum), 96 nucleotides long. RefSeq annotates it as small nucleolar RNA Z157/R69/R10. The record is from RefSeq and is a predicted model, not a curated record. The transcript has a single exon. Lineage: Eukaryota; Viridiplantae; Streptophyta; Magnoliopsida; Ericales; Ebenaceae.